This 435-nucleotide ribosomal RNA is filed under the name uncultured bacterium. Its description in RNAcentral is "partial 16S ribosomal RNA". It matches the Rfam family "Bacterial small subunit ribosomal RNA", at positions 29 to 507 of the family's 1533-position model. The record is from RNAcentral.
AGCGAACGCUGGCGGCAGGCUUAACACAUGCAAGUCGAGCGGGCACUUUCGGGUGUCAGCGGCGGACGGGUGAGUAACGCGUGGGAACGUGCCCUCUGGUUCGGAAUAACUCAGGGAAACUUGAGCUAAUACCGGAUACGCCCUUUUGGGGAAAGGCUUGCUGCCGGAGGAUCGGCCCGCGUCUGAUUAGCUAGUUGGUGAGGUAACGGCUCACCAAGGCGACGAUCAGUAGCUGGUCUGAGAGGAUGAUCAGCCACACUGGGACUGAGACACGGCCCAGACUCCGACGGGAGGCAGCAGUGGGGAAUAUUGGACAAUGGGCGCAAGCCUGAUCCAGCCAUGCCGCGUGAGUGAUGAAGGCCUUAGGGUUGUAAAGCUCUUUUAUCCGGGACGAUAAUGACGGUACCGGAGGAAUAAGCCCCGGCUAACUUCGUG